Molecule: ribosomal RNA, 490 nt
Filed under: uncultured bacterium
Lineage: Bacteria
Description: partial 16S ribosomal RNA
Rfam family: Bacterial small subunit ribosomal RNA
Source: RNAcentral
AUUGAACGCUGGCGGCAGGCCUAACACAUGCAAGUCGAACGGUAACAGGAAGCAGCUUGCUGCUUUGCUGACGAGUGGCGGACGGGUGAGUAAUGUCUGGGAAACUGCCCGAUGGAGGGGGAUAACUACUGGAAACGGUAGCUAAUACCGCGUAACGUCGCAAGACCAAAGAGGGGGACCUUAGGGCCUCUUGCCAUCGGAUGUGCCCAGAUGGGAUUAGCUAGUAGGUGGGGUAACGGCUCACCUAGGCGACGAUCCCUAGCUGGUCUGAGAGGAUGACCAGCCACACUGGAACUGAGACACGGUCCAGACUCCUACGGAAGGCAGCAGUGGGGAAUAUUGCACAAUGGGCGCAAGCCUGAUGCAGCCAUGCCGCGUGUAUGAAGAAGGCCUUCGGGUUGUAAAGUACUUUCAGCGGGGAGGAAGGGAGUAAAGUUAAUACCUUUGCUCAUUGACGUUACCCGCAGAAGAAGCACCGGCUAACUCCGUG